UACAGAGGUCCCAAGCGUUGUUCGGAUUCACUGGGCGUAAAGGGUGCGUAGGCGGUCGGGUAAGUCUGAUGUGAAAUCUCACAGCUUAACUGUGAAACUGCAUUGGAUACUAUCCGGCUCGAGGAAUGGAGGGGAGACUGGAAUACUUGGUGUAGCAGUGAAAUGCGUAGAUAUCAAGUGGAACACCAGUGGCGAAGGCGAGUCUCUGGACAACACCUGACACUGAGGCACGAAAGCUAGGGGAGCAAACAGG
Molecule: ribosomal RNA, 253 nt
Filed under: uncultured bacterium
Lineage: Bacteria
Description: partial 16S ribosomal RNA
Rfam family: Bacterial small subunit ribosomal RNA
Source: RNAcentral